This 253-nucleotide ribosomal RNA is filed under the name uncultured bacterium. RNAcentral describes it as "partial 16S ribosomal RNA". It matches the Rfam family "Bacterial small subunit ribosomal RNA", at positions 524 to 776 of the family's 1533-position model. The record is from RNAcentral.
UACGGAGGGUGCAAGCGUUAUCCGGAUUCACUGGGUUUAAAGGGUGCGUAGGCGGGCACUUAAGUCAGUGGUGAAAUACCUGAGCUUAACUUGGGAACUGCCAUUGAUACUAUUUGUCUUGAAUGUCGUGGAGGUUAGCGGAAUAUGUCAUGUAGCGGUGAAAUGCUUAGAUAUGACAUAGAACACCUAUUGCGAAGGCAGCUAACUACGCGAAUAUUGACGCUGAGGCACGAAAGCGUGGGGAUCAAACAGG